Molecule: long non-coding RNA, 281 nt
Filed under: Elaeis guineensis (African oil palm)
Lineage: Eukaryota; Viridiplantae; Streptophyta; Magnoliopsida; Arecales; Arecaceae
Description: long non-coding RNA (EGUI_LNC073850)
Source: RNAcentral
AGUUCUAGUCAAAUGAUUGGAUUCAAAGAUGUGGGCUAGAGGAUUUGAACCUGACAUAUUUGAACUACGAGAGUAGAGAUUCAAGUUAGACUUUUGUACUUUAAAUUUAUAUUUGCUUUAGGGACUUUAAGAAGCAAACAAUAACUCUCACUAUUUUUUCAGAUCUCUCCACUCUCCUGAUGGGAAGAAAAAACCCUAACAUGACAAUUGAAUUUCUAGUGGAUGCUGCAGUCUUAUCGAUACCAUAUACCUUACCUAACGAUUAUUGGUAACAUGCACAC